GGUUUGUUUACAAAACCGCAUACAAUAAUGCGAUGUUUGCCGAAAGGCAAACUCGGCAGAUAAACAGUGAGGCUGAAUUCCUGCCGAACUGUUUAUCAAAC
This is a small RNA of Treponema denticola ATCC 35405, 101 nucleotides long. It matches the Rfam family "TD-2 RNA". Rfam says of the family: non coding RNA found in Treponema denticola NCBI's taxonomy places the organism in Bacteria, Pseudomonadati, Spirochaetota, Spirochaetia, Treponematales, Treponemataceae. The record is from Rfam.